GAUGAACGCUGGCGGCGUGCUUAACACAUGCAAGUCGAACGGAAAGGCUCCUGCUUGCAGGGGUACUCGAGUGGCGAACGGGUGAGUAACACGUGGGUGAUCUGCCCUGCACUUCGGGAUAAGCCUGGGAAACUGGGUCUCAUACCGGAUAGGACGAUGGUCUGGAUGCCAUUGUGGAAAGUUAUUCGGUUUGGGAUGAGAUCGCGGCCUAUCAGCUUGUUGGUGGGGUAAUGGCCUACCAAGGCGUCGACGGGUAGCCGGCCUGAGAGGGGGUCCGGCCCAGCUAGACUGGGGAUGAGGCCCGGACUCGAAUGGGAGGGAAGGGUGGAGAGGAGUGUAUAAGAGGAGCAAGCCUGAUGCAGCGACGCAGCGUGGGGGAUGACGGCCAUGGGGUUGUGAACUCCUGCCGCUAGGGACGAAGCGCUAGUGACGGUAGCUGGAGAAGAAGCCCCGGCUAACUACGUG
RNAcentral lists this ribosomal RNA (465 nucleotides) under uncultured bacterium. RNAcentral's name for it is "partial 16S ribosomal RNA". It matches the Rfam family "Bacterial small subunit ribosomal RNA", at positions 28 to 507 of the family's 1533-position model. The record is from RNAcentral.